Molecule: non-coding RNA, 73 nt
Organism: Ancylostoma duodenale
Lineage: Eukaryota; Metazoa; Nematoda; Chromadorea; Rhabditida; Ancylostomatidae
Source: the annotation of a GenBank genome assembly
CGCAGAAUAGCCGAGUGGUUAACACGCUAGCCUAUAAAGCUGAAGCUCAAAGGUUCGAAUCUUGCCAAUGCCC